UGGGGCAGGCGGGCGUCGGAGGGGCAGUUUUGAAGCCCGAGCGAAGAGGCAGAGGGCGGGAUGCGGACGAAGCCAGGGAGUUCACGAAACUUCUGGAGUUCUCAGUUUCCCCCUAAGUCGACUGGGGCUAGGUCCCGUGCCGCCAGGCGGGCUGGCUGAGGGGAUGGGCUGGGGCGACAAGACGGCAGCCGCCUGGCCCGGGUACUUGGGGUCAGACCGGCUUCGAGGCCCCCGGACCGCCGUGUUAUCAGGACGGGUAGGGAGCCCACGGGACGCGUGGUGCUCAGAAGAGCGGGGAGGCGUGUGGACGGGGCCUGCCCGAGCUGCACCACCGCCUGCCUCCAGGCUGCGAGGCCCGCCCAGGCGAAGGCGGCAUCUCAGCCUCUAGCCCUUGGGGACCUUGAGGACGUCCUCUUAUGGGUCAGCCGUUCCUAGGGAGGCUUGUGGCUCCAGUUACUGGAAAAACCAGUGCUGGUUCACGCAGGAGGCCCCAGUACAGGGGGAAACAGAGGCAAGCUGGGGUCUCCCAGGCGGCCUCACCCACCCAGCCCUGUUCCAUGCCAGUCCCUGGACCCUUGGCCCAGUCAGAUGUUCAACUGCUCCAGCCCUGCCUCCACUUCCCUGAAAGAUGCUUUUCCACCCAUCCACCCUCAGCAGCCAGAGGGACCCCGGGAAGAUGGGAGUGAGAGCUGCCUUCGUCUGCAAAAGUCUCCAGACACCACCUCACUGGUGAAGGCCAGAGACCCUAAACUGUCCCAAGACCACCUGACUGGGCUGCCUCCCUGCCACCUGGCUGCCAGCCUCUCUCAGAGCGCCUGCAAGCUAUUCCUCCAACCCAGAGUUUCCUUCCCAGCUAAAGGCCUUUGCACCUGCUGUUCCUUCUGCCUGGAAGUUCACCGCAGACUAUCCCAGGGCCUCCAUCCUUCCCAUUGCAUGGUCCCCAUCAGCUGCCGCCGCCUCUGAGAGCUCAGUCUCCACUGGCCAUCCUGUCUCUCAGCCCACUGCACUCUCCACUCUGCCAGAAAGUCCCCCAAUCAGUGACAACACAGGUCACGGUCCACACCUCACCUGGUUUGUCCCCAGUGCCCAGCAUCUGGCACCGAGCAGGAAGCAGAAGCUAAGCGAAAGCAGAAUCAAGAUUCAAACCCAGGCACGGUGAAACCAGAGCUGUCCAACUGCUAGGAGAAAACGGGGCCUCAGAGAUGAUGGCUGAGCCGUGAAAAGGUGGGGUCAGAAGCCAGGCCCAGUCUCCUGAAUUCCAGACUCCAGAAUCUCCCCCAGGAUUGAGGAAUGUUCCACAGAAAGAAUCCCAGCUCCACCUACCCCAGUCACUGGACCUGCCCAGCCCUGGAGGCAUGGCCAGGAGGAGGCCCCCGCAGGUGGGGGAUUGUUGGAGAGGGAUGCCAACCAUGCAGGACGAUCUAGACAGUGGUGAGGCCCACUGGGGCUGGCAGGAUUAGCAGAUUAGCUCCAAGGAGGACAAAGACGAGGUCAGCGUUAAGUGGAUUUCUGGAAAGCCUCCUCCAGCCCAGCAGGGCCCUACAGGAGGGGCCCAGGCUGGGGGACCUAGAUCCAGCCACGGAGGGCAUGGGUGGGCUAAUGGCACCAGCAGCAGCUCUUGAGCCCCCAUCACUGGGCUGCACACUUUGACCUCUCCUGGCCUCAGUUUCCCCAUCUAUAAAUGUCAUAGUAAUAGCUCCAACCUCACAGGGCUCUUGGGAAGACCCACAAGAUGGUGGCUGUCAAGUGCUGCGUUGCUUCUGCCUGCGCAGAAGUAGAUGUCUUUAUGACUGUCCUUUUGAAUCCUCCUCAAGCCCUGAGCGUCAAACAAAAUAAAAAAGAGCUUGUUGUUCAGUGGUUAGUUAGGUAAACAGGAGCGGGGUGCAGGAGUAUACAUCUAGGAAGAGAGUAAGUGUGCGGAACGAUGCUCUCUGGGCCACUUCACGUCCCCUCUGUUCCCUGAUUUCAGUGGCAGUGGCCCAUUCUGAGCGAGCUUGGACCCUCCUCCUCAGUGCCUGCCUUCCGUGUGUACCAAGCCCUGAAGGGCAGAGGAGGGCCAGCCCUCCGCAGUGUGGCAGGGCUCUGGCGGAUACACCUGCCUCCCAUCUGCAGAAGGACCUUCCUCAGGUGUCCGGCACACUUCUCAGGAGGUCCUGAAACCAGCUGAGACCUCCAUAACACACCUGUGUUGGCUCCCUCACCUGGUCAUCACAAAUAAACCACCUGCACCAAUGUCCCUAUCUCAGGCUCUGCUAUCGAGGGAACCAGCGUAAGCAGCCACGCCCCUGAUGCGAAGAGGAAGCAGGGCUUGAGGGAGGCCAGGACUCGGGGGAUUGGCGUGCAGGAGCUGGGAAAGUCAUUUUCAUUUCCCUCCUUCCCCUAGUUUCGUUAAUGCAGCCACGCUACUGUGAUGGUGACAUUUUCAUUUGUGUAUUAGUUGUGCCUGUAAAACCUGCUCUCUCUC
Molecule: long non-coding RNA, 2464 nt
Filed under: Homo sapiens (human)
Lineage: Eukaryota; Metazoa; Chordata; Mammalia; Primates; Hominidae
Description: HSALNT0350566
Source: RNAcentral